AGAGUUUGAUCCUGGCUCAGGAUGAACGCUGGCGGCGUGCCUAAUACAUGCAAGUCGGACGGGGUGUUUGAGCAAUCGGACACUUAGUGGCGAACGGGUGAGUAACGCGUUGGUGACCUGCCCCAAAGCGGGGGAUAACAGCCUGAAAGGGUUGCUAAUACCGCAUAUGGUCUAGGGAGAUUAGAAGCUCUAGAUUAAAGGAGAAAUCCACUUUGGGAGGGGCCUGCGUCCCAUCGGCUAGUUGGUAGGGUAAAAGCCUACCAAGGCGAUGACGGGUAGGGGACCUGAGAGGGUGACCCCCCACAAUGGAACUGAAACACGGUCCAUACACCUACGGGUGGCAGCAGUAGGGAAUAUUGCACCAUGGGCGAAAGCCUGACCCAGCAACGCCGCGUGAGGGAAGAAGGCUUUCGGGUUGUAAACCUCUGUCCUUGGUGACGAAACAAAUGACGGUAGCCAAGGAGGAAGCCCCGGCUAACUACGUGCCAGCAGCCGCGGUAAUACGUAGGGGGCGAGCGUUGUCCGGAAUUACUGGGCGUAAAGGGUGCGUAGGUGGCCUUUUAAGUUGGAUGUGAAAUACCCGGGCUUAACCUGGGGGGUGCAUCUAAUACUGGGAGGCUAGAGUGCAGGAGAGGAAAGCGGAAUUCCUAGUGUAGCGGUGAAAUGCGUAGAUAUUAGGAGGAACACCAGUGGCGAAGGCGACUUACUGGUCUUUUGCUGACGCUGAGGCACGAAAGCGUGGGGAGCANACAGGAUUAGAUACCCUGGUAGUCCACGCUGUAAACGAUGGAUACUAGGUGUGGGGGACAUACAACCUCUGUGCCGGAGCUAACGCAUUAAGUAUCCCGCCUGGGGAGUACGGUCGCAAGGCUGAAACUCAAAGGAAUUGACGGGGGCCCGCACAAGCAGCGGAGCAUGUGGUUUAAUUCGAAGCAACGCGAAGAACCUUACCAAGACUUGACAUCCUCUGACAACCAUAGAAAUAUGGCUUCCCUUCGGGGCAGAGUGACAGGUGGUGCAUGGUUGUCGUCAGCUCGUGUCGUGAGAUGUUGGGUUAAGUCCCGCAACGAGCGCAACCCUUAUCAUUAGUUGCCAGCACGUAAUGGUGGGAACUCUAAUGAGACUGCCGGGGAUAACUCGGAGGAAGGUGGGGACGACGUCAAAUCAUCAUGCCCCUUAUGUCUUGGGCUACACACGUGCUACAAUGGCCGGUACAAAGGGCAGCGAUACCGUAAGGUGGAGCGAAUCCCAAAAAGCCGGCCCCAGUUCGGAUCGUGGGCUGCAACCCGCCCACGUGAAGCCGGAGUUGCUAGUAAUCGCGAAUCAGCAUGUCGCGGUGAAUGCGUUCCCGGGCCUUGUACACACCGCCCGUCACACCAUGGGAGUUGGGAGCGCCCGAAGCCAGUGGGCUAACCAGUAAUGGAGGCAGCUGUCGAAGGUGAGACCAAUGACUGGGGUGAAGUCGUAACAAGGUAACC
RNAcentral lists this ribosomal RNA (1478 nucleotides) under uncultured bacterium. RNAcentral describes it as "bacterial SSU rRNA". It matches the Rfam family "Bacterial small subunit ribosomal RNA". The record is from RNAcentral.